CCUACGGGUGGCAGCAGUGAGGAAUAUUGGUCAAUGGACGAGAGUCUGAACCAGCCAAGUAGCGUGAAGGAUGAAUGCCCUAUGGGUUGUAAACUUCUUUUAUAAAGGAAUAAAACGAGGCACGUGUGCCUGUUUGCAUGUACUUUAUGAAUAAGGAUCGGCUAACUCCGUGCCAGCAGCCGCGGUAAUACGGAGGAUCCGAGCGUUAUCCGGAUUUAUUGGGUUUAAAGGGAGCGUAGAUGGGUUGUUAAGUCAGUUGUGAAAGUUUGCGGCUCAACCGUAAAAUUGCAAUUGAUACUGGCAGUCUUGAGUACAGUUGAGGUAGGCGGAAUUCGUGGUGUAGCGGUGAAAUGCUUAGAUAUCACGAAGAACCCCGAUUGCGAAGGCAGCUUACUAAACUGUGACUGACAUUGAUGCUCGAAAGUGUGGGUAUCAAACAGGAUUAGAUACCCGAGUAGUC
RNAcentral lists this ribosomal RNA (460 nucleotides) under uncultured bacterium. Its description in RNAcentral is "partial 16S ribosomal RNA". It matches the Rfam family "Bacterial small subunit ribosomal RNA", at positions 338 to 795 of the family's 1533-position model. The record is from RNAcentral.